RNAcentral lists this unclassified non-coding RNA (376 nucleotides) under Heuchera parviflora. Its description in RNAcentral is "partial external transcribed spacer". The record is from RNAcentral. Lineage: Eukaryota; Viridiplantae; Streptophyta; Magnoliopsida; Saxifragales; Saxifragaceae.
ACUGUUUUACGUGCGCAUCAUCAAGUUUGUCCCAAUUGCUUAGAAAGCAUCAUUGGGCUUGUUUGGUUUCUGUGUUAGCUACCUACUUGGAAGCGAGUGUCCCUUAUGUUUGUCUUUGUAUCGGCUUGCACCCUUUUAGGGGAAUGCUCGGUGAUCUUAGUAAUGCUUCUCAUAUUCCUUUGUCACGCUAUCACAGCAUAGUGGUGUCAACGGCCUAUGUGCAAGUAUUCGUAAUCUUGAAUGUGGAAUGCGUAAUCGGGUAAUCGGUCGAAUAAACCUUUUAUCCCGAGCAGAGCGUUUUACGCUCGGCACGUACGACACCUGUAAUUGCGUUGACCUUUCCCGACUUGAUUGACGGGGGGGCUCAUGYGAUGCA